This 253-nucleotide ribosomal RNA is filed under the name uncultured bacterium. RNAcentral's name for it is "partial 16S ribosomal RNA". It matches the Rfam family "Bacterial small subunit ribosomal RNA", at positions 524 to 776 of the family's 1533-position model. The record is from RNAcentral.
UACGAAGGGGGCUAGCGUUGCCCGGAUUCAUUGGGCGUAAAGAGCGUGUAGGCGGCCAGGUAGGUCGGUUGUGAAAACUGGAGGCUCAACCUUCAGAGGUCGACCGAAACCAUCUGGCUAGAGUCCGGGAGAGGAGAGUGGAAUUCCUGGUGUAGCGGUGAAAUGCGCAGAUAUCAGGAAGAACACCCGUGGCGAAAGCGGCUCUCUGGAACGGUACUGACGCUGAGACGCGAAAGCGUGGGGAGCGAACAGG